This is a long non-coding RNA of Gadus chalcogrammus (walleye pollock), 2470 nucleotides long. RefSeq lists it as uncharacterized. The record is from RefSeq and is a predicted model, not a curated record. NCBI's taxonomy places the organism in Eukaryota, Metazoa, Chordata, Actinopteri, Gadiformes, Gadidae. The transcript is spliced from 3 exons.
UGUCGGCCGUAUGCUUCUGUCCAAGCUCACUACUCUCUGCCAGUGACGUCGGGUCAAGCUCAACGCUGAUUGGCUAUUGCGGCGCGUAUGAGCGUAAAAAGUUAAAUUUUUUGAACUCCUCGCGUACGCGCGUAUAUGUACGCGCGUAUAUAUACGCGCCUCAUACGCCCCUAACGCGAGUAAAAUGUUGCUUAUACGCAUGUAACGCGUGUACGCGUCUCAUACGCGCGUAAACCAAUGGUUCCCUAUGGAAAAAUUGCCGAUUUUAUACGCGUGGUACGCGGGUAACGCUUUUGGUGUGUCCGCACCUUUAAGCUACACAAAACCAACAAAAUCAGCUCACUACAUGAGAAAUUACAUGUUGAACCGACAUAAUGUGUUGUCAUUUACCAUAGUUUGACUAACACUGAUCCUGUUUCUGGGUCAGUGUGUGCUCUGGUCUGUAGUAUGCCAUUUCAGAAACGGUGUCUCUGGUGCAGCCUUGUGGGACACCUGUACCCAGCUCCCACUCAAAAUUACUGAUAAUACAGCGGACACACACUGUCCACUGUGCUAUCCGUACCCAGCUUCCACUCAAAGUUACGGAUAACUUUGAGUGGGAGCUGGGUACGGAUACCCCAUAAGGCUGCACCUGAGAUGGUGUGUGUCAGCUGUAUUAUUGGUAACUUUGCGUGGGAAAAACGUUAGGUAUGAAUACCCCACAAGGCUCCACCUGAGACAGUAGCCUACUAGCUGUGACUUGAGAUAAUUUGUAUGUUGAUCUUCUCUUCAGGGUUUUAUUUCCGCUAAAAUAGUCGGUUGGUUAUUACUCAAUGUGCUUGACUGAUGAUUGCUAAAAUUAGUUGCUGACUGGCCGUUGGUCUCAUACCAGUAGAAGACGCAUGCAACUGUAUAGCUGUUGUGUAGACUAUAUGCUUGUAAUCAAAAUGGUGACUGCCACACAGACAAAUUCUGAAUAACUGAUUCAAAUUCAUAUUUUAGGGUGGUGGUGGCGAUUCUCAUGACAUAUCCGUUGUAAAUAGUAUCUUGCCAUGCAGCUCCAACCCAGUGAUGCAAGAAGAAGAGGUUUCACCCUCCAGCUUGCAGGUUUGCAGUGGAGACUCAUUUGUCACAUAUUUAAAGAACAGCUCCUCUGUAUGCAGCUCCACCAUGGUGUCACAAGACACAAAGUUUGCCAAAGAAGCCAAGUUAAGCUUGGUAAACUACACAGACUCGGAUGAAUCAGCCGUCAGUUCCAACGCUAAUGAAGAUGUUCCCUCAUCCACCAUACAGGUAUCUUAGUCAGAUCACUUUAGUAAUUUCAGCAACCUGUCACUAAGCAAUGGACACACCCACUUUUCAACCUGCCACCAUCUUGAUGGAACAGAAUUUUGAAGUGCUCAUUCAAUAUUUUAUUGUUAUUUACUGCAAAAGAUUUUGUGUUUUGAAAUACAUGAAUGUGAUUUGGCUUGGUUAGGCUUUGGCACCGCAGCAUAAAUGCCAAUCCAAUCCAUUUUUAUUUAUAUAGCGCAUUUCCUACUCAGUGAUAACUCAAAGCACUCAAAGCCAAAUCAAGCUAUUCACUUACAUGCAAUUAAAAACAUGGAAUCUACAAUGGUAAAAACUAUCUAAAUCAGGGCAUCAUAAGAUUGUAAUUCCAUGUGUAUUCUGCCUGUUCUUUUGACUGUUUUGGUUCUUUGAAAUUGCAUUGUUUUAACAUUGGAGUGAAUGGGCACAUUCCAUUCUUCCAAGAUGGCCAUGUUAAAAAGUGGGUAUGUCCGUUGCUUAGUGACAGGCCUCUAUUGUAUCCAUUCCACUCUUGAUUAUGGCAGCUCCCACCUAGCCUCAUCAACAUUUGAUUCUGGCAGAGGAUCUGGACCCACAUCCGUAGGGUCUCAUUUACAAACUUAUUUCCUCACGCUCCAAUCAAACUGGACUGGAUUUGAAAGAGAUCGACCUACAGCUAGAUCUUAUUUUAUAUUUCUUGAAGAUGAAAGUGAAGAUUCCUGAUGGAUCUGAUGAGCUUUUUUGGGGAAGAAUACGUUCCAGCUUCAAUUGCAGAAAGUACAGAUAAUACAGAUGGAAGCAUGAUCUGUGAAAUGUCACCAUCUAUGUCACCAUCAUCCUUGUCAGACAGGACUGAGUAGCAGAAGCUGUUCAACUCCAUGUCAAAGCAGAAGCAGUGGGGAGAGUAAUUCCGAUGGAGAAGACAUCCCUGUCCAAAAGAAAAAGUCCAAGACCAUUCGCAAGCCACAGAAGAAGAGGCCCUGGGAAACUGAGGAGACAAAUGCAGUUGAAAAGCACAUGAGGAACUUCAUUUUGACCUGCAAUGUUCCAAGAAAGGAAGACUGUGAUAAGUGCCUUAAAUCAGAGCCAGAAGCACUAAAAAAUAGAGACUGGAAGGCACUCAAAUUCUACAUCAAAAAUAGAAUUACUGCACUAAAAAGGAAAAUGUAAAACAUUUCAGUUUUCAUCCAGUUUCUCAACAGGU